AGUAAAGUACCUUAUUUAAGGGAGUGCCUUGAUGCGGCAAACAUGUUUAUAACCUUUACUU
This 61-nucleotide transfer RNA is filed under the name Eulimnogammarus vittatus. RNAcentral's name for it is "tRNA-Ile". Lineage: Eukaryota; Metazoa; Arthropoda; Malacostraca; Amphipoda; Eulimnogammaridae. The record is from RNAcentral.